RNAcentral lists this ribosomal RNA (464 nucleotides) under Vreelandella stevensii. RNAcentral describes it as "partial 16S ribosomal RNA". It matches the Rfam family "Bacterial small subunit ribosomal RNA", at positions 338 to 795 of the family's 1533-position model. The record is from RNAcentral. Lineage: Bacteria; Pseudomonadati; Pseudomonadota; Gammaproteobacteria; Oceanospirillales; Halomonadaceae.
CCUACGGGGGGCUGCAGUGGGGAAUAUUGGACAAUGGGGGGAACCCUGAUCCAGCCAUGCCGCGUGUGUGAAGAAGGCCCUCGGGUUGUAAAGCACUUUCAGUGAGGAAGAACGCCUGGUGGUUAAUACCCAUCAGGAAAGACAUCACUCACAGAAGAAGCACCGGCUAACUCCGUGCCAGCAGCCGCGGUAAUACGGAGGGUGCGAGCGUUAAUCGGAAUUACUGGGCGUAAAGCGCGCGUAGGUGGCUUGAUAAGCCGGUUGUGAAAGCCCCGGGCUCAACCUGGGAACGGCAUCCGGAACUGUCAAGCUAGAGUGCAGGAGAGGAAGGUAGAAUUCCGGUGUAGCGGUGAAAUGCGUAGAGAUCGGGAGGAAUACCAGUGGCGAAGGAGGCCUUCUGGACUGACACUGACACUGAGGUGCGAAAGCGUGGGUAGCAAACAGGAUUAGAUACCCGAGUAGUC